AUUGAACGCUGGCGGCAUGCCUUACACAUGCAAGUCGAACGGCAGCAUGAUCUAGCUUGCUAGAUUGAUGGCGAGUGGCGAACGGGUGAGUAAUACAUCGGAACGUGCCCUGUAGUGGGGGAUAACUAGUCGAAAGAUUAGCUAAUACCGCAUACGACCUGAGGGUGAAUGUGGGGGACCGCAAGGCCUCAUGCUAUAGGAGCGGCCGAUGUCUGAUUAGCUAGUUGGUGAGGUAAAGGCUCACCAAGGCGGCGAUCAGUAGCUGGUCUGAGAGGACGCUCAGCCCGACUGGGACUGAGCCACGGCCCAGACUCCUACGGGUGGCAGCCGUGGGGAAUUUUAGACAAUGGGCGAAAGCCUGAUCCAGCAAUGCCGCGUGUGUGAAGAAUGCCUUCGGGUUGUAAAGCACUUUUGUCCGGAAAGAAAUGGCUCUGGUUAAUACCUGGGGUCGAUGACGGUACCGGAAGAAUAAGGACCGGCUAACUACGUG
This 490-nucleotide ribosomal RNA is filed under the name uncultured bacterium. RNAcentral's name for it is "partial 16S ribosomal RNA". It matches the Rfam family "Bacterial small subunit ribosomal RNA", at positions 30 to 507 of the family's 1533-position model. The record is from RNAcentral.